UAGGCAGACAGUAAAAUACCCGAUGCUCAAGCUGCUCAUGAAAAAACUCUGACAGGUCUCCUCGCUGCCCAGGGCGGCGCGAAUCUGAUCUAUGGAGCGG
Regulatory RNA element from Desulfosporosinus orientis DSM 765, 100 nucleotides. It matches the Rfam family "Pyrrolysine insertion sequence mttB". The record is from Rfam. Lineage: Bacteria; Bacillati; Bacillota; Clostridia; Eubacteriales; Desulfitobacteriaceae.